CCCGCGAAGGAAAGAACCAAGGAGUAGCGUAGGAAGAGAGAGAGAAGGAGGGGGAGAAGGAGAGAGAGACAGAGAUGUGAUUAAGCUCAGGCUCUUGAGGCGGGAAGAGCAGCCGGGACAAUCCAGGCGAGUCCACUGUCAUCGCAGGGUCCUUGUAAGAGGGAGGCGGGAGGGUCAGAGUCAGAGAAGGAGAUGUGAGGGCAGGAGCAGAGUCAGAGAGGGAUUGGACGCUGCUGGGCUGCUGGCUUUCAAGAUGGAAGAAGGGGCCACAAGCCAAGGAAUGCGGAUGUCCCCCAGAAGCUGGAAAAGGCAAGGAAACGGACGCUCCUUCCAGAAAUGAACCAGCCCUGCCGACACCUUGACGUUAGCCCAGUGAGACCUGGGUCAGACCUCCAGACUGUAAGAGAACGAAUUUGUGUUGUUUGAGGCCACCACGUUUGUGGUCAUUUGUUGCAGCAGCCACAGGACACUAGUACAGGACCUUAAAUGCCUUCUGCUCCAAUCCAUUCCUUGAAUGACAAGCAACUAUAAAAGGGAAAUGAGGUAAUAUGACAAGGCGGCAAGACGACAUACACUAGGCACCAAAUCAAAUGUGCAAACAGGAAGCACACCGACAGUUGAGAAGGCUUCUAACUCCUGGCGGGAGUCCAGCAAGACACUCCUCAGGCUGCUGGAACAGGACAAUCUGGAAAAAGGCUGUCCCAGCCCCUAACGACAGGAGUGGUUCAUCCAAGACCCCACCUUGUGUCAAUGACCCAACAGCCUCCCGAGACAAGAUAAAGACUGGAGAGAGCCAAGCACCCAAGGAUAACUGUCCUAGGGUUACAGAAGUCACCCUCCGUGCCUCUGGGAAUAUUUCAUAACAGGUUCCAUGGGGCGCCCCCCACGAGGAGCUCAGCACACAGUGAACAGUUAGGACAGAACUUGACUCAGCCAUAAAAGACUCUGAGUUCCUACGAGCUCCGAGCCGGGCCCUAGACAGACCCAGGACACAAAGAAGAAGAAGGCAGUGCGUGCUCUCACGCUGCUCACCGUCCAGAUUAAACAGGAUACAACGCUACCGUGUAGCAUACGGAAUACGUGGCUUCCAGAGUUUUAGACGCACAGAUGGGAAAUAGUUUAUGGUUUGCCCACUGCAUUUUCAGAGCCACGUGUCUCAAUGUGCCACUGCCCGUGUGGCUGGGUUAUGGAGUGUCCCCUCCUCCCCCACGUCUUCUCUGUCCCUACAGGAGUCAGGACACCUGACGUCAGGCUCAAGGGAGGGCGCCGGUGUCUCUCCACUUAGAAACAUUAGCAAAGUUCAUUUCUUUCUUAGGCAAAUGGAAACAUAAACGGGGUCUAAUCUUUUCUUCCCUGACCCUACUGGAUCACCUGAGCCCCUCAGGGAGAGCUGCCUUAGCAUCCCCCCAUCCUGGGACACUAUGGAGGAAGGGUAUGGGCAGUGGCUGCACACCGGGGUCAUCAGGGACUCGACGCUGCUCAGCACAGUCAUGAGAGGAGGGGUGGACACACGACCUCUCUCCCUGAUGCUCGUCAGAGCCAGCAGCCUGUUGGUCAAUUAAGGAGACUCCUGGAAAAUCUGUGGGAUUCUAGAAAGUCCCGUGGGAUGUCAGAACAGCAUGCUGUCAUAGAAAAGAACAAAAUCAGGAGUCCUGGGCCCAAGCUCUGCCUCCAGCAGGAGUGGGCCACAUCAUGCGGGUAGAUUGUUACAAUAACGACCACCCACGCCCGUGAACCACGCUGCCCAUAUUCUCCCACCUUGGUCAUGUGGCUUUGCUGCUCCUCCCAUCAAGAAGCAGAGUCGGUUGACUCCUCCUUGCCUCUGGACAGAAUGGAGCAGGAGUGACUUGCAACUUCCAAGGUGAGGCAGCUCCUACUUUGGCCCUCUUGGAGCCCUCUCACCAGGGUUGCGGACCCAGGAUGAAAGGCCACCCAGCUGGGUGGACCGCUGCACUAAAGAGCCAGGGGAGAUCGACUGAAGAGCCAGCCGGUCCACCCUCGGAAUCGUGAGGAACGAUCAGCCUUCGCUGUUUUAAGCCGCUGAGUCAGGGCAGCAACGCUGUCUGAUACAUCCCUCUAGUCCAUUUAUUCCUCUUGGGUGCAUCUGUUUCCUCGUCUAAAGCACGAGUGUGGACUAGACAGUCUGGGGCCCUAACACUCUGAAGCCACAUUAAUAAAUAAAGCAGUGGUGAGGGGGCCGGGCCCCCGAGAGCGACACUGCAGAGGGAGUAGGCCUCCUGUGGCCAGAGUCUGUCCCAGGCCAAAGACGCUGACCAGGAGGGCAGCGAGUCCCCUCCAGCUGUGCUCUCAGAAGCGUGGGGUGCGGUCCCCGAGACAAGUGAGCUCCAGACCUGCGCUCAUGUCCUGCCUCUAUCACACUGGCACAGGCCCUUCCCCAAAAGUGCCUGUGGCUGCCAUGAGCCUGUGUCCUCCUUUGCAACCGCAGAUAGAAAUAAGCAGCUUAAAGACCUGUUGCAAAGAUUCAAUGAGAUGUGUGAAGCAAUCGGUGCCAGCAGGCACUGAACAUGGUGCUUAUAAUCUGCAUACUUCAACACAGAGGCGCAUGGAGAUGACCACCUCCAACAGGAAAGGGAAAGAAAGAUGAUAGGGAGCCGAGGACAAGAAGUCAGCUGAUUUCAACCGUGCCUACGCCUUACACGAUUAGGCUUUACGUCUAGAAGGGCUUGAUGCAAACUCUGUGCAGUUCACAGAGGCAGGACGGAAGAGGACGUAGGAGGGUGGCCCUCCCUCGCUUUAGAUGAACGAGUGCAAACGUCGUAGCGAGUUGCCAUGCAGAGGCCAGUGUAGGCUGCACGUUCCUCGGGCCACAAAGCUAUGGCCCUGGGCUCCACGACUAAGCGAGAGGGGCCUUUUAAGAACAGCAGUCCAGGGUCACUGGCACCUCCCAGUGGCUGGGUCAUUCUAUUUUUUUCCUGGUCCUUCUCUAAACUCUCAACUUCUCCGUUGUAGAAUCUCGCUGAGUUGACCUCUGACUUCAGGCUUAUUUCCAGAAGUGUUCAGACUCUCCGUUCUGAAAGUCUCUUUCUUUAAAGUAAAUAUUUCAUUCCUCCU
Long non-coding RNA from Equus caballus (horse), 3072 nucleotides. The record is from Ensembl. NCBI's taxonomy places the organism in Eukaryota, Metazoa, Chordata, Mammalia, Perissodactyla, Equidae.